RNAcentral lists this ribosomal RNA (251 nucleotides) under Gammarus roeselii. RNAcentral describes it as "partial 28S ribosomal RNA". It matches the Rfam family "Eukaryotic large subunit ribosomal RNA", at positions 163 to 416 of the family's 3401-position model. The record is from RNAcentral. Lineage: Eukaryota; Metazoa; Arthropoda; Malacostraca; Amphipoda; Gammaridae.
AGGCUAUCCCAACUAACGGCGGGAAAGACUCCCCGGAGGGUGUAAGACCCGUGUGGGCGCGUGUUAAAGCUGUGUGGGCUCGGCCUCUCUUCCCUGAGAGUCGCGUUGCUUGAGCAUGCAGCGCUAAUCAGGUCGUAAACUCGAUCUAAGGCUAAAUAUCUCCACAGAACCGAUAGCGAACAAGUACCGUGAGGGAAAGUUGAAAAGCACUCUGGAGAGAGAGUCAAAAGACCGUGAAACCGCUCAGAGUA